UACGUAGGGCGCAAGCGUUAUCCGGAAUUAUUGGGCGUAAAGAGCUCGUAGGCGGUUUGUCGCGUCUGCCGUGAAAGUCCGGGGCUCAACUCCGGAUCUGCGGUGGGUACGGGCAGACUAGAGUGUGGUAGGGGAGACUGGAAUUCCUGGUGUAGCGGUGAAAUGCGCAGAUAUCAGGAGGAACACCGGUGGCGAAGGCGGCUCACUGGGCUGACCUUGACGCUGAGGCGCGAAGGCGUGGGGAGCGAACGGG
RNAcentral lists this ribosomal RNA (253 nucleotides) under uncultured bacterium. RNAcentral's name for it is "partial 16S ribosomal RNA". It matches the Rfam family "Bacterial small subunit ribosomal RNA", at positions 524 to 776 of the family's 1533-position model. The record is from RNAcentral.